CAGCACAGAGGAGCUUGCUCCUUGGGUGGCGAGUGGCGGACGGGUGAGGAAUACAUCGGAAUCUGCCUAUUUGUGGGGGAUAACGUAGGGAAACUUACGCUAAUACCGCAUACGACCUACGGGUGAAAGCGGAGGACCUUCGGGCUUCGCGCAGAUAGAUGAGCCGAUGUCGGAUUAGCUAGUUGGCGGGGUAAAGGCCCACCAAGGCGACGAUCCGUAGCUGGUCUGAGAGGAUGAUCAGCCACACUGGAACUGAGACACGGUCCAGACUCCUACGGGAGGCAGCAGUGGGGAAUAUUGGACAAUGGGCGCAAGCCUGAUCCAGCCAUGCCGCGUGGGUGAAGAAGGCCUUCGGGUUGUAAAGCCCUUUUGUUGGGAAAGAAAAGCAGUCGGUUAAUACCCGAUUGUUCUGACGGUACCCAAAGAAUAAGCACCGGCUAACUUCGUGCCAGCAGCCGCGGUAAUACGAAGGGUGCAAGCGUUACUCGGAAUUACUGGGCGUAAAGCGUGCGUAGGUGGUUUGUUAAGUCUGAUGUGAAAGCCCUGGGCUCAACCUGGGAAUUGCAUUGGAUACUGGCAGGCUAGAGUGCGGUAGAGGGUAGUGGAAUUCCCGGUGUAGCAGUGAAAUGCGUAGAGAUCGGGAGGA
This 646-nucleotide ribosomal RNA is filed under the name Luteimonas sp. 9C. RNAcentral describes it as "bacterial SSU rRNA". It matches the Rfam family "Bacterial small subunit ribosomal RNA", at positions 67 to 705 of the family's 1533-position model. The record is from RNAcentral. Lineage: Bacteria; Pseudomonadati; Pseudomonadota; Gammaproteobacteria; Lysobacterales; Lysobacteraceae.